UCGGAGAUGGAACAGGAACGCUUCCGAGCUGAUCUGAGCAGAUGUGUGAAUAUGCAGAUGGCCUUCAAAGUUCAGCUCAGAGUUUUUGUCAGUAAAGGUAAUCAAAGGGGCGUAUAAAAGAAUCUAAAAGGUUAUUACCAACUAAAUGUUAAGACUGUAGUUUAGCUUUGAAUUCGUUUUUUGAAAUGUAAUCAAAUUAGACACAGAGUGUACAUAUAUAGGUCAAAGUCUAUAUAAAACAAUCAGUCAAGUAUCAAAUCAUUUGAGUACUUGAAUGAAUAGUCACUUGUUUGUAACUUGAAUUCGAUGCACGAGUGCCAGAUGUUAUUUGUAAAUAGCUGGUGGGUAUAUUAACAGCUCAAUCGCUGUGUUUCUGCAGAGAUGCGCAUAUCUGGUUGCUAUGGCUCCUUCAUCGCCGGUCCUCACUCCUGCUGUGUUGCCAUGGCAGCGCUUGAUUGGCGCACAGCUCUGGCAUUUGAGUUCACUCACAACAAGUCUUUGGAUGAAACGAGGGGUGUAGCCAUACAGUUUGUGCUGUCAUACAGUAGCUCCUCCGGAGAGAACAGGACACGGAUACACACUGUUAUUCUGUCCGCUUCCCGGCAUCCGCUAGACACCUUUAGAAGCAGCCAGGCCGAGACGCUCCUCACAUUCUACUGCAAGAAAUGUAUUCAAAAAUAUGAAUCAAAUACCAAUAUGAAAUCAAAUUUGACCUUAUUUAUUUCUUUAUAUAAAAUAUGUAAUAUAUUCACUACUGUUUAAAAGUUCCGGGUCAUUUUUUAGAGAAAUAUUACUUUUAUUCAGUAAGGAUGCACUGACUUGUUUAAAAGUUUCUAUAAAAAUAUUAAGCAACACUGAUAUUGCAACACUGAUAUUGAUUAAAAAAAAUGUUGAGCACCAAAUCAGGAUAUCAGAAUGAUUUCUGAAGGAUCAUGUGACACUGAAAAUUCAGCUUUGCCAUCAUAGGAAUAAAUUGCAUUUUAAAAUAUAUUAAUAUGCA
Long non-coding RNA from Cyprinus carpio (common carp), 1000 nucleotides. The record is from Ensembl. NCBI's taxonomy places the organism in Eukaryota, Metazoa, Chordata, Actinopteri, Cypriniformes, Cyprinidae.